RNAcentral lists this transfer RNA (85 nucleotides) under Chloroflexota bacterium. RNAcentral's name for it is "Chloroflexi bacterium tRNA-Leu". It matches the Rfam family "tRNA". Rfam says of the family: Transfer RNA (tRNA) molecules are approximately 80 nucleotides in length. Their secondary structure includes four short double-helical elements and three loops (D, anti-codon, and T loops). The record is from RNAcentral. Lineage: Bacteria; Bacillati; Chloroflexota.
GCCCUGGUGGCGGAAUUGGCAGACGCGCACGGUUGAGGGCUGUGUCCCGCAAGGGGUGGAGGUUCGAGUCCUCUCCAGGGCACAA